UCAUUUGGUUAGGCCAUGUAAUGCUUGAGUCGAUUUGAAGUUGAACUGAAGCUAAUAUAACACCGACAUCCUCCAGAUCAACUUCAUAUCGACUCAGGCGCUACAUAGCCUAACCAAAU
This is a non-coding RNA of Xyrichtys novacula (pearly razorfish), 119 nucleotides long. The record is from the annotation of a GenBank genome assembly. Lineage: Eukaryota; Metazoa; Chordata; Actinopteri; Labriformes; Labridae.